Molecule: non-coding RNA, 125 nt
Organism: Triticum aestivum (bread wheat)
Lineage: Eukaryota; Viridiplantae; Streptophyta; Magnoliopsida; Poales; Poaceae
Source: Rfam
GUAGUACUCCUUCCAUCCCAAAAUACUUGUUGGGGAGAUGGAUAAAAUUGGAUGUAUCUAUAACUAGAAUAAGUCUACAUAUAUCCAUUUCUCUGACAAGUAUUUCGGGCCAGAGGGAGUAUAAU